CUAGCCGUAAACGAUGGACACUAGGUGUUGGUGGUAUCAACCCCACCAGUGCCGAAGCUAACGCAUUAAGUGUCCCGCCUGGGGAGUACGGCCGCAAGGCUAAAACUCAAAGGAAUUGACGGGGCCCCGCACAAGCAGCGGAGCGUGGGGUUUAAUUCGAUGCAACGCGAAGAACCUUACCAGGGCUUGACAUGACCAGGAAUCCGGCGGAAACGUCGGCGCCCCGCAAGGGGCCUGGCCACAGGUGU
RNAcentral lists this ribosomal RNA (248 nucleotides) under uncultured bacterium. RNAcentral's name for it is "partial 16S ribosomal RNA". It matches the Rfam family "Bacterial small subunit ribosomal RNA", at positions 796 to 1041 of the family's 1533-position model. The record is from RNAcentral.